Molecule: RNA transcript, 3766 nt
Organism: Orcinus orca (killer whale)
Lineage: Eukaryota; Metazoa; Chordata; Mammalia; Artiodactyla; Delphinidae
Gene: CD46
Gene name: CD46 molecule
Exons: 15
Source: RefSeq, a predicted model, not a curated record
CCGCCCUGGGUACGGCCCAGGCCACGCCCAGCUGCGAGACCGCGUUUGAGGGUUUGUGACUGUGCGGAUUCUUGUCUCUGGUAACUGGACUCAGAAAGAUCUCUGCUGAGCUGUUUCAGGUUUCUCGCUGAUCUCCCGAAAAUGACGGCGCCUUGCUCCUCUCGCAAGGCAUCCCCCUACCGCUCCGAGAGUCCCUUUUCUUCUAGGUGCUUCGUUGGGAUUCUUUUGGUGGCGCUACUGCUCCUGCUUCCCAUAUCCUCCGAUGCCUGUGGUGAGCCACCAAGGUAUGAAUCUAUGCAGCUCCCGGGUGUCCCUAAACCCAGUUAUAGCCCUGGGGAGAGUGUACAGUAUGAAUGUCGCCCAGGUUACCAGCCCAAGCGUCCUCCUCUUCCUACCUCUGCUGUUUGUCAGAAUGAUGGUAUGUGGUCACUUCUCCAGGAGGCCUGUACAAGAAAACAGUGUCCUAACCUAGGGGAUCCCCCAAAUGGCCAAGUAGACUACCCAAAUGGAAGUAUUCUGUUUGGCUCAGAGGCUCAUUAUGUUUGUAAUGUUGGUUAUUUCUUAAUUGGACCAAGUAUUCUAUACUGUGACAUUUCUGGAAGUACUGUGGAGUGGAGUGAUACUCCUCCAACGUGUGAAAAGAUUUUGUGUAAACCACCUGAAAAAAUUCUAAAUGGAAAAUACACAAAUAGCCUCAAGGAUAUAUUUGAAUACAGUGAAGUAGUAACUUAUAGUUGUGAUGCUUCAAAUGGAACAGAUCAAUAUUCACUUGUUGGAGAGAGCAAGCUUGUUUGUAUUGGAAAUGACAAAUGGAGUAGUGACCCUCCUCAGUGUAAAGUGGUCAAAUGUGCCUAUCCAUACGUUGAAAAUGGAAUAAUAGUCUCAGGACAUGGAACAAAAUUUUACUACAAAGCAACGAUUGUAUAUAGAUGCAUUGAGGGUUUUAAGCUUAAUGGCAGCAACACAAUUGUCUGUAAUGCGAACAGUACUUGGGAGCCUGAGAUACCAACAUGUAUUAAAGAGUCAACUACUCCUAGUACCCAGCCUCCAAUUUCCAGUGCCUCAGUGUCAACUCCUCCCAGUUCCCAACCUCCAAUUUCCAGUGACUCAGCAGAAGCAAGAGACAAGAGGAAGAGAGGAAGAGCAUUAGCCUGGGCAGACUGCACUCAGGGUCCCAGUGUGGCUCUGCUCACUAAAAUUCCAAGCCUACUCAUACAACUACGACUCUGGGGUCAAGUCAUCCAGGAUAUCCCAGUCCCAGUGAUGAACCACCACCUAAAGAUGCUGAGAGUUUAGGUGCAGGAAUCAUUGUUGCAAUUGUCAUUGGUGCACUUUUUGGCGUUGUAGUAGUUGUCUGCAGCAUCUACUUCUGUUUUCACAAAGAGAAGAAAAGGUUGCAGUAAAACUGAUGGGGUUAAACUAAAAGUUGCUGAGAGGGAAAGAAGGUAUUGCUAUAUACAGCGCUUGCCAGGAUAAGGCAACCACUCCAGCAGAGCAGAUGGACUAAAUGGUUUCCACAAACCCAUGUAUCAUUCAGCCAUGAAAAUGAAGAAAAUCCUACCAUUUGAGACAAUACAGAUGGACCUUGAGGGCAUUAUGCUGGGUGAAUAAGUCAUAUAAAGAAAGACAAGUACUGUAUGAUCUCACUUAUAUGUGGAAUCCAAUAAAACAAGCUUAUAGAAAAAGAAAUCAGAUUUACCUUCAUCAGAGGUGGUGGGCUGGGGGUGGCAGUUGAGUAAAGGCAGUCAGAAAAUAUAAACUUCCAAUUAUAAGAUAAAAACGUACUGGGAUGUAAUGUACAGCAUAGUGACUAGUUAGUAACACUGUAUUGUGUUUUGGCAAGUUGCUAAUAAGAAAGUGGAUCUUAAAACUUCUAAUCACAUGGAAGAAAAAAAUUUUUUUGUAGGUACAUGAAGUGAUGGAUGUUAACUAAAUUUAUCGUGUAAUCAUUUUGCAAUAUAUACAUGAUCAAAUCAUGCUGUACACCUUAAACUUAUGCAGCAUUAUAUGUUAGUUAUAUUUCAAUACUGAAAAAAAUAUAAAAAUUAUUUGCUAGUUUCUUACACUGUCAGGAAUGGAACUGUUAAGCUAUAGGGCUAACAUUUUAAUGUGGCUGAAGUACAGUCACCAUCAUUUAAUGCUUCUUUGAAAUGUGUAUGAAUUUGUGUUUGAAUAUCUUGCUUGUUUUUCCUUAAAUAACGCUUGUAUUUAUAAGGGCAACUUAACACAGUAUCGCGACUAGUGUUAAGGUGGGGAAAUAUUUUUUCUAUAAAAUCUCCAAACUCAGAGAACUAUAAUUCAAAAUGGCAUUACAUUUCAUUUGUAAAGAAAGUGAUUUUGAAAUCUUUUCUGUUCAAAGAUGACUGCCAACUCUUAAGAUUCAUUCUUCAACAAUCCCAAAAUAUGCAUUAUAUAUUGUUUAUUAUAAAAGUUUGAUUUCCUUAACUAAGAAUAUUACCGGAAAAUACUCUUACAGUUAAUAGGUUAAAAUACUAUUUUAAAAAAUUUGUAACCUCUUGGUGAUUUAAAGAUGCUAUAAAGUUUAUUUCUGGCAUUUGUUCUUCACCCCUUUUAAUAACAAUAAACCAGUCUAAGAAAUCAAGAAGAAUUCAGCAUCAGUUGCAUGCUUCUGUACAAAGUUAGAGGGCUUCUAACACCCAUAGCAGGAAUGCCAGCUCAGGACAAAGUGAAUACUGUGGACUUGUAGUUUUCUUAAAAAGAAUUCCACUCUUUAAGAGAAUUAGAAUCCACUCUAAAUUCUGUUUUUCUCUCCCCACCUGAAUAAAGAGAUGUCUUACUUUAAACAUGUCAUCUGAAUGUAGGCAGUUUUGUAGGGAAUAAAUUCAUCAGAUAACCUCAAGUUGCAUUAGAAUCUGAGUCUCACCUCAUCUGUAAAGGGCAGAGUAAAAAUGAAGCCCCAUAUUUCAGAAAAGCAAACUUAACUUUGUAGAUUUGCUGUUGGUCAUGCAAAGGGAUGGAAAGAAGAAUGAGCUCAGGUAGCUCUUGACGCUCAGGUGGGACAGAUCCCAGCCCUCUUCUCUGUCCUCACACCAGGCAGGGCCUCCUUCAAAUAAGCCAGCGGCCAAAGAGGAGGGACUGUCUCUCUAACUCCAAUUACAUUUUUACAUGUUUUGUUUCACACUUUUAUAGUUAGUAGCACAAACUGGGCCAAAGAAACGUUGCCUUAGAAAUAGAUGAAUAAAGAAUCAAGAGUGAACCGGAGUAAAUAUUGUUUUACUCCCUAAGGACAUGUUUGUAAGGCCAUGUAAGUGGUCCUUCCCUUUGUAGUCUCUGGUGAGGCACUUUAGGAAGAUAAAUUUGAGGAGAAUAAAUUCAGGAAUUCUGAGAUAAAUAUAGAGUUGAAGUUUUGCUGUACCCUCUUCCACAUAAUUUUUGAGAAUCUAGCACUUGCUUAGAAGCAAGGGGGUGGCUAUAGUACAUAUUUUUAAAACCCUCAAAGAAGUGUUUUCAACCAAGGAUUAUUAUGCUUACCAAAAUAAAUUGACUUUCACAGUAUAGUUUCCACUUCAAAAUUAGUUUUUCUAAUUUAUUUAUAUGUAAGAUUGAAAUAUGUGUGUACAUAUAAAUUAUGUUCUGUUUGUCAAAUAAUUUGUCAAUUAAAUAUAGGGGGACACCAUUUUUCUCUAGAAAUGUUUAUUUAAAUGAGAGAGGGAAAAGUGUAUUUUAAUUUAAAGCUUUCUUAAAACUGCAUUUUGAGAAUUGGACCUUCAGAUCUAUUAAAAAAAUAAAAUGUCAUUAUGGAGAA